CUCAUUCAUUCAAUUAAUAAACUCCAAAAAGCCAAUAUGAUAAAUCCAUGCUUUGCCUGCCCCAAUGCUAUUAGGAAUCCAAAAUAACAGAAAAAAUUAAGCAUAUUCCACCCUCCAAUGAUCAGCAAGAUACUAGAGAAUAAUGCUGACAAAGUGAUACAGAUGGAUUGAAUUACAUAUCAGGGACUUGUUCAUCCCUAAAGCACUCCAAAACCUGCUAAAGGGGCAGACGUAUAGUCCCCAUGAAGAAAUGCAUCCCACAAAAG
RNAcentral lists this unclassified non-coding RNA (266 nucleotides) under Hevea brasiliensis (rubber tree). The record is from RNAcentral. Lineage: Eukaryota; Viridiplantae; Streptophyta; Magnoliopsida; Malpighiales; Euphorbiaceae.